AUGGCUCUAUUCGAUCUGAAUCAACCCAUCCAUUGGGACUCUGGGAGUGUGAGGAGAUACAAGAGUACGGACGAGCCGAUGCCACCGGCCAUAGAGGAGAUGGGGCGGACGGACAAUGUGCGGACCACCAUGGAGACUUUGCCAGCCACGGAGGCACUCGCUCGGACAUCCACGGCUACCACGCAGGGGGCGGUGGAGGAGUUCACUCGGACGCCGGCGGCAACGGCAGAGGCGGUGGAGGUGAUGCGGGCGGCAGCGGCCGAGGCUUCGACUGAACCAGAUUGCGAACAGAAGGCGCAGGACGCCGUCACAUAUACCGCAUGCUUUUACAGAGGAACGGCGCGCGGUGGAAUUAUGAAGCGUGGAGUCAGUAGAGCCGUGUCGGACGAAAUGCGGGUGCCUGUGAGGGUCGUGCAGCGCAUAUGGAUGAUCGGGCGCCGCGGUGGUGGAAUACAUGCCGUGGUGAGCAAGAAGCCUAAGAACUGCGGCCGCAGGCGGGUGGAGCUUGGCCCUAAAGCUGUACGUGGGCUACCCCUGGAUGGCCGCAUGACGAUUCGAGAGCUAGCCGAGGCUUUGGGUAUGAAGAAGAGCACUCUGUUCCGGCGGCUGAAAGAAGGUAAACUGAGGCGCCACAGCGAAUAA
RNAcentral lists this ribosomal RNA (642 nucleotides) under Triticum aestivum (bread wheat). Its description in RNAcentral is "partial small subunit ribosomal RNA". Lineage: Eukaryota; Viridiplantae; Streptophyta; Magnoliopsida; Poales; Poaceae. The record is from RNAcentral.